UAGCCCUUUUAAUGCAGUCCAGUGAGGCUGGCAAAAGGGGAGAGGGCAAAACAAAAAAAUUUUGUUUCGCCAAGCUUCUUUCCCUCUUUUGCCUUAGGCAAAAGAGGGUUAUUAUU
This is a regulatory RNA element of Bacillus sp. 1NLA3E, 116 nucleotides long. It matches the Rfam family "PyrR binding site". Rfam says of the family: This family represents the PyrR binding site and terminator structure. This RNA structure is found upstream of a variety of genes involved in pyrimidine biosynthesis and transport. The alignment also includes a portion of the antiterminator structure. The record is from Rfam. Lineage: Bacteria; Bacillati; Bacillota; Bacilli; Caryophanales; Bacillaceae.